UAUGCUAAUACGGGAUAAUAUAUUUGAGAGGCAUCUCUUGAAUAUCAAAGGUGAGCCAGUACAGGAUGGACCCGCGUCUGAUUAGCUAGUUGGUAAGGUAACGGCUUACCAAGGCGACGAUCAGUAGCCGACCUGAGAGGGUGAUCGGCCACAUUGGAACUGAGACACGGUCCAAACUCCUACGGGAGGCAGCAGUGGGGAAUAUUGCACAAUGGGCGAAAGCCUGAUGCAGCAACGCCGCGUGAGUGAUGAAGGCCUUCGGGUCGUAAAACUCUGUCCUCAAGGAAGAUAAUGACGGUACUUGAGGAGGAAGCCCCGGCUAACUACGUGCCAGCAGCCGCGGUAAUACGUAGGGGGCUAGCGUUAUCCGGAUUUACUGGGCGUAAAGGGUGCGUAGGCGGUCUUUCAAGUCAGGAGUGAAAGGCUACGGCUCAACCGUAGUAAGCUCUUGAAACUGGGAGACUUGAGUGCAGGAGAGGAGAGUGGAAUUCCUAGUGUAGCGGUGAAAUGCGUAGAUAUUAGGAGGAACACCAGUUGCGAAGGCGGCUCUCUGGACUGUAACUGACGCUGAGGCACGAAAGCGUGGGGAGCAAACAGGAUUAGAUACCCUGGUAGUCCACGCUGUAAACG
RNAcentral lists this ribosomal RNA (630 nucleotides) under uncultured bacterium. RNAcentral's name for it is "bacterial SSU rRNA". It matches the Rfam family "Bacterial small subunit ribosomal RNA", at positions 159 to 808 of the family's 1533-position model. The record is from RNAcentral.